RNAcentral lists this transfer RNA (65 nucleotides) under uncultured Robinsoniella sp. It matches the Rfam family "tRNA", at positions 6 to 65 of the family's 71-position model. Rfam says of the family: Transfer RNA (tRNA) molecules are approximately 80 nucleotides in length. The record is from RNAcentral. Lineage: Bacteria; Bacillati; Bacillota; Clostridia; Lachnospirales; Lachnospiraceae.
UCUGUAGCUCAGUUGGAUAGAGCAACGGCCUUCUAAGCCGUGGGUCGGGGGUUCGAAUCCCUCCA